UGGGGAAUUUUGGACAAUGGGGGAAACCCUGAUCCAGCCAUCCCGCGUGUGCGAUGAAGGCCUUCGGGUUGUAAAGCACUUUUGGCAGGAAAGAAACGUCGCGGGUUAAUACUCCGCGAAACUGACGGUACCUGCAGAAUAAGCACCGGCUAACUACGUGCCAGCAGCCGCGGUAAUACGUAGGGUGCAAGCGUUAAUCGGAAUUACUGGGCGUAAAGCGUGCGCAGGCGGUUCGGAAAGAAAGAUGUGAAAUCCCAGAGCUUAACUUUGGAACUGCAUUUUUAACUACCGGGCUAGAGUGUGUCAGAGGGAGGUGGAAUUCCGCGUGUAGCAGUGAAAUGCGUAGAUAUGCGGAGGAACACCGAUGGCGAAGGCAGCCUCCUGGGAUAACACUGACGCUCAUGCACGAAAGCGUGGGGAGCAAACAGGAUUAGAUACCCUGGUAGUCCACGCCCUAAACGAUGUCAACUAGCUGUUGGGGCCUUCGGGCCUUGGUAGGCGCAGCUAACGCGUGAAGUUGACCGCCU
This 527-nucleotide ribosomal RNA is filed under the name uncultured bacterium. Its description in RNAcentral is "partial 16S ribosomal RNA". It matches the Rfam family "Bacterial small subunit ribosomal RNA", at positions 355 to 874 of the family's 1533-position model. The record is from RNAcentral.